CGUCGAUCUCGUGAAUCAUCGAAUCUUUGAACGCACUUUGCACCUCGUGGCUUUUGUCACCAGGUAUACUUGUUUGAGUAUCUGACACCACCUCAUUUUCCUUUCGGGGCAAGAUGGACCUGAGAUUCGAUAGAUCUUGUGUCUAUGGUCUCUUUAAAGGUAGGCUAUUCUGGGAGGUCUCCUCUGGAGCUUGACAGACUAUUGGGAUAACAUCCUAACAAUCGUCUGUUGUGUUCAUGAAGAGUUGACUGACUUGGCCGUUGACGUGUAGGGAGCAUGAGGGAGGCAACUCUUUCGUGUAUUCUGCGUGUCGUACAAUGCACUGGAGCAAUUCAGGGUGUUGCGUGAUAUGGAUCUCAAAUCAAGUAAGGAUACCCGCUGAACUUAAGCAUAUCAAUAAGCGGAGG
Molecule: ribosomal RNA, 407 nt
Filed under: uncultured Diversisporales
Lineage: Eukaryota; Fungi; Glomeromycota; Glomeromycetes; Diversisporales
Description: eukaryotic LSU rRNA
Rfam family: Eukaryotic large subunit ribosomal RNA (bases 352-407)
Source: RNAcentral